Molecule: ribosomal RNA, 465 nt
Filed under: Vreelandella stevensii
Lineage: Bacteria; Pseudomonadati; Pseudomonadota; Gammaproteobacteria; Oceanospirillales; Halomonadaceae
Description: partial 16S ribosomal RNA
Rfam family: Bacterial small subunit ribosomal RNA
Source: RNAcentral
CCUACGGGUGGCUGCAGUGGGGAAUAUUGGACAAUGGGGGGAACCCUGAUCCAGCCAUGCCGCGUGUGUGAAGAAGGCCCUCGGGUUGUAAAGCACCUUCAGUGAGGAAGAACGCCUGGUGGUUAAUACCCAUCAGGAAAGACAUCACUCACAGAAGAAGCACCGGCUAACUCCGUGCCAGCAGCCGCGGUAAUACGGAGGGUGCGAGCGUUAAUCGGAAUUACUGGGCGUAAAGCGCGCGUAGGUGGCUUGAUAAGCCGGUUGUGAAAGCCCCGGGCUCAACCUGGGAACGGCAUCCGGAACUGUCAAGCUAGAGUGCAGGAGAGGAAGGUAGAAUUCCCGGUGUAGCGGUGAAAUGCGUAGAGAUCGGGAGGAAUACCAGUGGCGAAGGCGGCCUUCUGGACUGACACUGACACUGAGGUGCGAAAGCGUGGGUAGCAAACAGGAUUAGAUACCCUAGUAGUC